GUAAAUAUAGUUUAUUAAAACAUUAGAUUGUGAAUCUAAAAUUAGAGCACUAACCUCUUAUUUACC
This 66-nucleotide transfer RNA is filed under the name Mesechinus dauuricus (Daurian hedgehog). RNAcentral's name for it is "tRNA-His". It matches the Rfam family "tRNA". From Rfam's summary of the family: Transfer RNA (tRNA) molecules are approximately 80 nucleotides in length. The record is from RNAcentral. Lineage: Eukaryota; Metazoa; Chordata; Mammalia; Eulipotyphla; Erinaceidae.